Molecule: ribosomal RNA, 434 nt
Filed under: uncultured Pseudobutyrivibrio sp.
Lineage: Bacteria; Bacillati; Bacillota; Clostridia; Lachnospirales; Lachnospiraceae
Description: partial 16S ribosomal RNA
Rfam family: Bacterial small subunit ribosomal RNA
Source: RNAcentral
ACGGGAGGCAGCAGUGGGGAAUAUUGCACAAUGGGCGCAAGCCUGAUGCAGCGACGCCGCGUGAGCGAAGAAGUAUUUCGGUAUGUAAAGCUCUAUCAGCAGGGAAGAUAAUGACGGUACCUGACUAAGAAGCACCGGCUAAAUACGUGCCAGCAGCCGCGGUAAUACGUAUGGUGCAAGCGUUAUCCGGAUUUACUGGGUGUAAAGGGAGCGUAGGCGGUUUAAUAAGUCUGAUGUGAAAGCCCGGGGCUCAACUCCGGUAUUGCAUUGGAAACUGUUAAACUUGAGUGUCGGAGGGGUAAGCGGAAUUCCUAGUGUAGCGGUGAAAUGCGUAGAUAUUAGGAGGAACACCAGUGGCGAAGGCGGCUUACUGGACGAUUACUGACGCUGAGGCUCGAAAGCGUGGGGAGCAAACAGGAUUAGAUACCCUGGUA